Eriocheir sinensis (Chinese mitten crab) is the source of this 2017-nucleotide long non-coding RNA. RefSeq lists it as uncharacterized. The record is from RefSeq and is a predicted model, not a curated record. The transcript has 3 exons. NCBI's taxonomy places the organism in Eukaryota, Metazoa, Arthropoda, Malacostraca, Decapoda, Varunidae.
UCCCUUCCCUCUUCUUUCUUCAUCCCCUUCCCUCCCCUUCCCUUCUUCUCUGCCACACCGUCCUAAAACCUAUUUCUUCCUCUCAUAUUUUACUUGUAGGUAGCGUAUGAGAGGAAGGGAUAGGUGGUAGAUCAGUAUAUAGUCGGUAUUAAAUAUAGACAUCAUUUCUAUAGGUCAAAGAGGGGGUCAGUUGGGUUCUAAUGAGUGUUUCUUUAGUUUCAUGGUACAGAAGAAGGGUCACACUACCACCAGGGUCAUAAAACUGCUGGAAAUGCCUGAAACUCCUAGGAAAGCUUUGUCAAAUAUGUUCUUUUAGGUUCACGGUACAGAGGAAGGGUCACACUACCACCAGGGCCAUAAAACUACCCCUGGAAAUGCCCACAACUCCUACGAAAGCCUUGUCAAAUAUGUUCUUUUAGGUUCAUGGUACAGAGGAAGGGUCACACUACCACCAGGGUCAUAAAACUACUGGAAAUGCCCACAACUCCUACGAAAGCCUUGCCAAAUAUGUUCUUUUAGGUUCAUGGUACAGAGGAAGGGUCACACUACCACCAGGGUCAUAAAACUACUCCUGGAAAUGCCCACAACUCCUACGAAAGCCUUGUCAAAUAUGUUCUUUUAGGUUCACGGUACAGAGGAAGGGUCACACUACCACCAGGGUCAUAAAGCUACUCCUGGAAAUGCCCACAACUCCUACGAAAGCCUUGUCAAAUAUGUUCUUUUAGGUUCACGGUACAGAGGAAGGGUCACACUACCACCAGGGUCAUAAAACUACUCCUGGAAAUGCCCAAAACUCCUACGAAAGCCUUGUUAAAUAUGUUCUUUCAGGUUCAUGGUACAGAGGAAGGGUCACACUACCACCAGGGUCAUAAAACUACCCCUGGAAAUGCCCACAACUCCUACGAAAGCCUUGUCAAAUAUGUUCUUUUAGGUUCACGGUACAGAGGAAGGGUCACACUACCACCAGGGUCAUAAAGCUACUCCUGGAAAUGCCCACAACUCCUACGAAAGCCUUGUCAAAUAUGUUCUUUUAGGUUCAUGGUACAGAGGAAGGGUCACACUACCACCAGGGUCAUAAAACUACCCCUGGAAAUGCCCACAACUCCUACGAAAGCCUUGUCAAAUAUGUUCUUUUAGGUUCAUGGUACAGAGGAAGGGUCACACUACCACCAGGGUCAUAAAACUACCCCUGGAAAUGCCCACAACUCCUACGAAAGCCUUGUCAAAUAUGUUCUUUUAGGUUCACGGUACAGAGGAAGGGUCACACUACCACCAGGGUCAUAAAGCUACUCCUGGAAAUGCCCACAACUCCUACGAAAGCCUUGUCAAAUAUGUUCUUUUAGGUUCACGGUACAGAGGAAGGGUCACACUACCACCAGGGUCAUAAAGCUACUCCUGGAAAUGCCCACAACUCCUACGAAAGCCUUGUCAAAUAUGUGUUCUUGGGGGAUGAAAUGUUUUGUGGUACGACCCGUGUGGCAGAGCAGAGGGGAGGAAGGGACCCGCGGAAUCGAACGCCCAAUCGGACUGUUUGAAAUGGUUUGACCCUCGUGGCAAUUCAGUGACAAUUUCUCAGCAAUAGGUAAUUUAUGAACUCGCAUUAUCGUUUUUAUUAAUUAAUUUUACGUCAUCAGCGAAAAUAAUAGAAAUAAUUAACCCACGUAUAAAUUCGCCUGUAAUAUCAAUUUAGUCAUACAUGAGUUACCCGGCAGGAGAACAAAACUGAACACACAUCAACCUUUUGCAUUAGUCACGUUGAUGCAGCACUUAAGUCAUCCACUUAUUUCAAGUGUUAGUAAUUUAGCGUCGUAAUUACUUCCCGGCAGAAAAGAAUUGAUAAACAUUUUUCCAUUAAUUAUUUUUAUUAUCUGUUGCAAGCAAUGAAAUGCAUAAAUAAUUUAGCAAUAAUUUCUGUAAUUUCUUAUUAAUGAUAAUUUAGUCAUGUAUUAAUUUCCUAUCAAAAUAUGAUCAAUAAACACAAACCUUUGUCCUUAAUUCUCUUGUAUGAAUAAAUGAC